This 314-nucleotide ribosomal RNA is filed under the name Aeromonas sp. SC39. RNAcentral's name for it is "partial 16S ribosomal RNA". It matches the Rfam family "Bacterial small subunit ribosomal RNA", at positions 73 to 386 of the family's 1533-position model. Lineage: Bacteria; Pseudomonadati; Pseudomonadota; Gammaproteobacteria; Aeromonadales; Aeromonadaceae. The record is from RNAcentral.
AAGUAGCUUGCUACUUUUGCCGGSGAGCGGCGGACGGGUCAGUAMUGCCUGGGAAAUUGCCSAGKCGAGGGGGAUAACAGUUGGAAACGRCUGCUAAUACCGSAUACGCCCUACSGGGGAAAGCAGGGGACCUUCGGSCCUUGCSCGAUUGGMUAUGCCCAGGUGGGAUYAGCUAGUUGGUGAGGUAAUGGCUCACCAAGGCGMCGAUCCCUAGCUGGUCUGAGAGGAUGAUCASCCACACUGGAACUGAGACACGGUCCAGACUCCUACGGGAGGCAGCAGUGGGGAAUAUUGCACAMUGGGGGAAACCCUGA